AGCUUUGUGCAGUGGCAAUAUUGCAGCCAAUAAGGUUUAUCUGAGGUGUGAUUAUUGCUAAUAAAAGGGCCAAAUUAGCCUAGAUUAUUGCUAAUCUUCACCAAACAAGUUAUUCCAAGCUCCCAAAGUACUUUACAAGGUUGAGUACCCUCUUCAGACUCCCAGGAAAUAGUUUAAUACAUUAUUAAUG
Macaca fascicularis (crab-eating macaque) is the source of this 190-nucleotide small nuclear RNA. Its record names the gene U4. It matches the Rfam family "U4 spliceosomal RNA". Rfam says of the family: U4 small nuclear RNA (U4 snRNA) is a component of the major U2-dependent spliceosome. The structure of U4 snRNA from yeast and human has been reported. NCBI's taxonomy places the organism in Eukaryota, Metazoa, Chordata, Mammalia, Primates, Cercopithecidae. The record is from Ensembl.